This 232-nucleotide ribosomal RNA is filed under the name uncultured bacterium. RNAcentral describes it as "partial 16S ribosomal RNA". It matches the Rfam family "Bacterial small subunit ribosomal RNA", at positions 118 to 347 of the family's 1533-position model. The record is from RNAcentral.
UGAGUAACCUGCCCUUUACUCUGGGAUAACUCCGGGAAACCGGGGCUAAUACUGGAUAUGACUCGAACAGGCAUCUGUUUCGGGUGGAAAGAUUUAUUGGUGGAGGAUGGACUCGCGGCCUAUCAGCUUGUUGGUGAGGUAAUGGCUCACCAAGGCGACGACGGGUAGCCGGCCUGAGAGGGCGAUCGGCCACACUGGGACUGAGACACGGCCCAGACUCCGUACGGGAGCA